AUCCAGAUGACAAGUCCCAAAUAGGAUUAAAUGCACAUCCUGGAU
Molecule: non-coding RNA, 45 nt
Filed under: Trichobilharzia regenti
Lineage: Eukaryota; Metazoa; Platyhelminthes; Trematoda; Strigeidida; Schistosomatidae
Source: RNAcentral